Molecule: long non-coding RNA, 2523 nt
Organism: Marmota flaviventris (yellow-bellied marmot)
Lineage: Eukaryota; Metazoa; Chordata; Mammalia; Rodentia; Sciuridae
Source: RefSeq, a predicted model, not a curated record
AUAAAGACACUAGUCAUUGGAUUAGGGCUCCAGCAUGAUCUCAUCUUCCCUUGGGGGAUUGAAAAGGACCUAUUUCCAAAUAAGAUCAAAUUCACAGGUAUCGGGGUUGGGAUUUGAACAUAUCGUUUAUAGGGACUCAAUGCAAUCCAUCACAGUGAGUUUAAAAGCAGGAUAUUGCUACCUCGAGUUAAAUACACUUAAAACUACCAAAGGCCAUAACUUUCAGACAAAAAGGAAGACAGCAUGGUGUUUGGUGAUGAAAUAGUCAAGAAUCUUUUUUCAGAGAAGCCCUCUAGGAGUUCUUCCCCUCCAGAGAGGGACACCAUAUAAUAACAUUUUUGAGCCUCUAUUUCUGUGUGGUACGCACCUUCGUCUGAUUAAUACAAUAUACAUGAUUGUUUUCUGUUAGGGCUGUGGGAAAUGAGAGGCAGAGCAUCGAAGGAACUUGCCAUGUUCUCAUGGGUCCUAAGAGGGUCAAGAUAAGCUAUAGAUGGAGGCACCCUAAUUCUGGUCCCAAGAGCAAAACUGCUGGUGUGGAAGGAUGGGGAGGGGAGGCGGGGGACAGAUGCUUCCUGCCUUCUCUCUGUACCUGCCACGGUCUAUUGGAGCUGCUCUUUCUAUUUGUGCAGUGUUGCCUCCAGAACCUCAGCAAAUUUCUGACCAAUGGACAGAGUUAAAAUAAGCCACUCAUACAAUUUUCUACAACAGGGACCCAUUGUCACGGAGGUCAGGUGGCCACCAGCUAAGCAUUAUUGUCCUGAUCUGUACCAUCCAUUGUUUUGAUGUCGGAUGAAACCAUGAAAUGUGAGCCUUCUUUCUGCAUCUGGAAAUAAACAACAAAACUGAACUCGGUCCCACGCAACCCCAGAUGCCUUCUUUUCCCUCACAGCCUUGUUUCUCCAGCUUCCCCUCAAAAACCAUUUUAUUCCCUCAAUCACAACUAUGUGCUAGCUUUAGCAAACUGAUCACCCAACUGUCACAGCAGACAGCAGCUCUCUUUGUUUCCUUUAGGAUCUCCAAACCCUCUAGAGGCAAGUCCUAUGGCCUGAAGAUUUCAUCUUUGUGCAAGAGAAAAACAAAUAACCAGAUUUCUUCUAUCUCUUCUGCCUUAAAAAUGAAAUUUUAUGUGAUUCAUUUUUUCAACGCUAAGAUAAACAUGUAAUCUUUCAUUCUCUCUCUCUCUCUCUCCCUCUCUCAUCACACAUUUAAAACCAUGUUUAUUGAAUAUCUUGUUUUUCAUUUGGGAGAUGCCAGAAGAGCCUGAGGCCCUUCAGCCACGCUUAUUCUGGAGGCAGAAAAAAAUGGAGCCCAAACCUGGAGCCUGAAAGUUCUCUCCGACACAUAGCCCAGGCCAAGAACAAGAUACUGCUGAUUCCUUUUAGAAGUGUGCGAGUUUGCAUCCUGAUGAACCGGAAAGGUUAUGUUUACUACGCCUGGCUCAAGUCUCUGCCUCAGUCUUCCUGGGGAGUACAUGCUGGUUCCAGCGUAUGGCAUGGCCGAGGAAGAAGUUCUGGAUCCAACUGCCCAAUGUACCAUUGUGGUCCAAAAGAGCUUUGAACUGGAGCCUGGAAUGUGGCCCCAGAUGGUGGCCUAAGGGAUCCAGACCUGGUCUCUGAACACCUUCACUUGUACAGAGCCUGAGCCUGCGGUUCAGAAAGACAAGAAAGAAGAAAGGAAGGGCCAGAUUUCAGUUGCAACACUGAGUGCUUCCACAGCACCGCUGGUGGACGAACCUCUCUCUGGCUGGCACCUGCAGCAGGAUUGACUCCCACGGACCUGACAGAGUGAGCUCUGGGUCCUUGGUCAACUCAGGGAGGAAGGAAGAAUUCUUCGGAUGGAGGCACUAGACUUCUUGCUAAUAAGGACAUGUAGGAGUUCUAGCAAUUCACUAGAAUAAUUAGAGGCCCUGACUAUAUGUGUUGGUUGAAGCAUAUCAAACUAGCUACCAGUUCUCUUGCCUCAUUUAGAGUCCCAAGAGUGACCCAGAAAUUCCAUUCAUAUAUAUUUAUCCCAGAGAAGCAAAAACAUAUGCCCAUCCAAAAACAUGAAAGUUCAUAGCAGCAUUAUUCACAGUAGCCAAAAGGUGAAAGCAACCUACAUUACCUACCAAUAGAAGGAUGGCUAAAUAAACUAUAGUAUAUUAUACAAUAGCUAUUAUUUAUCAAUCAAAACAAAGGAGGGACUGAACAUGUUACAAUAUAUAUAUAUAUAUGAACCUUGAAAUUGAGAGUUAAACGAAAGAAGCCAAUCACAGAUGUAUUACAAUCAGAUGUGUUACAUGAGUCAUUUAUUUAUUUCCUUUGUAUACUCCUUUGUAUGCUUUAAGGUAAUUUGACAUUAAUUCAUCACAUACCGGAUUUUGCAAUAAACCUUCAAGUCAGGUAUUUGAAUGUUAAGCCCAAAGAAGUAAAUUGUUGGAUAUUUGUUUUAGAUGGGUAUAGUAUUUUGCUUUCUUAGGAUAAUGCAGUGCUUAGCCAUGACCAUGUGAACCAUGGUUUAGAUUAAAACGAUCUUUCUGUUUAA